This 468-nucleotide ribosomal RNA is filed under the name uncultured bacterium. Its description in RNAcentral is "partial 16S ribosomal RNA". It matches the Rfam family "Bacterial small subunit ribosomal RNA", at positions 28 to 507 of the family's 1533-position model. The record is from RNAcentral.
GACGAACGCUGGCGGCGUGCUUAACACAUGCAAGUCGAACGGAAAGGCCCUGCUUUUGUGGGGUGCUCGAGUGGCGAACGGGUGAGUAACACGUGAGUAACCUGCCCUUGACUUUGGGAUAACUUCAGGAAACUGGGGCUAAUACCGGAUAGGAGCUCCUGCUGCAUGGUGGGGGUUGGAAAGUUUCGGCGGUUGGGGAUGGACUCGCGGCUUAUCAGCUUGUUGGUGGGGUAGUGGCUUACCAAGGCUUUGACGGGUAGCCGGCCUGAGAGGGUGACCGGCCACAUUGGGACUGAGGUACGGCCCAGACUCCUACGGGAGGCAGCGGUGGGGAAUAUUGCACAAUGGGCGGAAGCCUGAUGCAACAACGCCGCGUGCGGGAUGACGGCCUUCGGGUUGUAAACCGCUUUCGCCUGUGACGAAGCGGGAGUGACGGUAAUGGGUAAAGAAGCACCGGCUAACUACGUG